Molecule: long non-coding RNA, 769 nt
Organism: Aedes aegypti (yellow fever mosquito)
Lineage: Eukaryota; Metazoa; Arthropoda; Insecta; Diptera; Culicidae
Exons: 2
Source: RefSeq, a predicted model, not a curated record
CAAUUUUCAUCCCGCAAAGUUGUGUGCGAAUUUAACCUUCGCUCUGCUCCCUUUUCUAGGGAACGAAAAGAUCAGUGCCAGUGUAGAAGCCAAACGGUAGGAGCCCCGCUGUGCCAUUUUCCCAAUACUGACCCGGUUGGCUGAAGUUCGCUUUUGAAAGUGAUCGCGAGUGAAGACGAAGCCCCGGUGUACCAUUGACGUCGAUUGGCCCGGCUGGCAAGAUUUCAUCUCGAGUGCAAAAAGUGAGCGAUAAGAAGCCCCGGUGUGCCAUUCGACCCAUUCUAGCACGGCUGUUCUACGACCUCUCCCGUGAAGACGGAACCUGACCAAGCCACCCCUGAAGCUGCGUCAUGUGUCCUGUUGAUUCCGUUCUGAUUCAUAGAUACCUUUCAACCACCACCGGUGCAUGCUCCCUGCUGCGGAUGCCUAACUCUUGCGGUGUGGCACAGGAUCGAGUAUUUUACACCCCGACUUUGGAAUCCCACGCGACCAUUGCAACACCAACGACGGCAGCAGCAUCACCAAGCAAGACAAGGAUGAAGUUUUUCUUCUCGCCUCCAGCUGUGUAGCGUUAAGAGGUCCGACAAAGUUUUUUACGGAUCGUCUCACAAACUCUCUCUCUCUUCUCACUUCACUGCCAAAGACUGGAGGGCAUCGUUUACUUGCUGCAACCGCAGAACAACAACCAUCCUCUCCAGUGGGUUGUGCUGAUUUUCCCCGAAUGUCAUUUCCCCGAAUAAACUUUCUCCACGAGUGACUCAAAAAGUAA